ACUUGAGACCCCAUGACCCCAAAGAGGAAUGCAAAUCGCUCUGGGGUGAAGCUGGGCAGCUAUGCAGAAGGACAGACACAGCACUUUUGAUUUAAGAGUGAGGAUGAUCUUACCCCAGUGUGGCUACGGAGAAACUUAAGAUGGGUGGAUUGUCAGGUCUUGCCUCUGAGUUGGAUCAGGAAAGUGAGAUCAAAACCAAGGUGAAGGAUUGGUGUUGUGACCCUUGAAGAAGAUUCAAGUUAGCCUGGGGUACCCUCUUGGUUUUCCACUCCCAAACUGGGAUUAACUUUAUAAUCUUCCAUAAAUGUAGAGAAGUUGGGGGCUUUCCAGUGCUAGCCUGAGUAAGUACUAUUUGAAGACAAAUCAGAACAAGAUGGCUUUGCAUUGUAAAAGAAGGAAAAGAAUACAGGAAGUAAAUACAUCUGGAGACAUAUGUUUGGGCAAGAGGUAUUCUACAAUAUAGCCUUGUUCUUAUAAUGCAGAAUUAGAGACACGGAAUUUUUCUCAGAAUGCUGAAAGUAAUAUACAGAUGAAGACAACAUACUAAAGAUAAGCUGCUGGUCACUGUUUCUACAACAAGACACCUGAAGUUCUCGGAGAUUUGGCGUCAGUUAAGAGCUUACAAGGAGCAUAAAACAGCACCAGGGGCUACUGGAAAAUCCCUGAUGUAUCCAGGCCAUGAUCCCUCUGCCAGAGAAACCACUUACCCUGAAGGUACCACGACUGUGUGGAAAGAUGAGAAAGGAAGAGAAGAAGAUAAGGCCAAAAGGCACAAAGAACGAGGUUGUUUCAGAUACCUUGAGAGACAGAGUGCCAGGGACAAGUUUCCUGACAACAGUUCAAGGUUUCACCACCACCUGAAAACCUUCCGAUGAGUGGGAAGUGAGUAGAAGUUUGAGAACUACUGGACUAGAGGAACGUCUUAAACUACUGACUGAGGAGUGAAUGAGCCUGGUUAUCUAAGAACAGGACUGAAGACCAAGUGAAGAUCAAGCUGAGCUGUGCGGCCCCAGAUGUACCGGCAGAAGCCAUGGAGGAGGUGGCCCUGGGAGGGGUAGGGCGCUAUGUAUUCAGAAGUAAACUAUCCAGAACUGACGUCUCCGCAACCUGGGUCCAUCUCUUCAACUCGAUGUCCAAAUUCUCCUGGUCAGUUUGGUCUGUGCUGGGUGGGUGUGCGUUGGCAGAAACCUCAAUGAGGGCUCUAAACAUUUUCACAUGUUCUUUUCCCUCUUGUGGCUCGGGUGUUUAUUCUUUCAUUUUUACCAAACCUAAGAUGACAUGAUCAUUUUCUCCCAAGUUUCUUUACAUUUCUGAAUUUCCAGAUUUCCUUUUUGGCAGAAUUAAGCCCAGAAUAACAGGGUUCCUUGAGAACCUGUCAGUAACUCAAGCAAAGAAUUUAUCAAGAUGUUCUGAUGUGCCUGGGCAAAAUCUGUGGGGCAUCUCAGUAAAGACAACAGGGCAAUAAAGACACUGAUAAAAUUCUUCAGAGCUGUCCCGUGAACCCUGCUUAUGAUUCCUGCCUGCUCCAUCCCUCCAUGCCUGACUCCCCCUCACCCCAGGACAAGGGAGCACUCUGUUCUGAACCGUCAUCACUGACCUUGAGAUUCCAGCCAUGGCUCCUGAGAUGGCCCACAAAGCUCCCGUCCCCCAAAGGCUAGUCCAUUUCAGAGCAUUCUCACCCUGCUCCUACCCCCUCACUCUACCAUGCCUGUGUCUACGCAAAAAGGGACCCAGAUGCACGGCUCAACUAUAAUCUCUGAGGAAGGGCUGGGCUCCUGCCUUACUUUCAUAGUAAUCACAGACGUCAUCUUCUAUGCAUAGAUUUACCUUUGCCUUCCAUUCCUAUGGACUCAUGAAAACUCCUAUUUAAAUAUGAGACUGAUAUGCGCUAAAAAGCAUUACCAGGUGACGUUGAGAAAUCUCUCUCUCUCUCUUUUUAGAUAAUAAAUACACCAUCAAUCAUUUUCAGACAAAAAUAUUUUUCUUAUUUAUUGUAGAGGCAUUCUAAAAUAUAAUCCUUUUUCACUUUGCUGUCAAACACAUUGUUUUUAAGUACAAAAUUUUCUUCAAAAGAAUCUAAUUUUCUAUGUUAUUUUUGUUUAAUUAUUGCACUGAUGUCAAAAAUGGGUAUUACUUUAAUCGACAUGAAAGUAAUGUCUAUUACUUUAAUGGUGUAUAUUAUGAAGACAUUCCAAAGUUUUAGCAAAAAAAGAGAGAGCAGCUUUUUCAUGAAUCAAUGGGAAGAACCAGCCUUUGUGAAGAAACUAUGGUACCUCAGGCAUAUUCACUCAUCUAACCCCCCACUGAUCUUGUCAAAGUGGAUGUUGUUAUCUUCAUUUUACAGAUGAGAACACUGGAGUUCAGACAGGCUGGAAAACUGUCUCCAAAUCUGACUCCAGGGUCUGGGCUUUCUUCCUCAGCCCCACGCUGCUUCCCCCACCUCCACCCAGACAAUGCUCCACCGCACACUCCUUGCAUAGGCUGAUAUCUGCGUGUAGUGUGCAUGGGGCUGUUAAAAACUAAUUAAUGGUGGGGGGGGUUCUUUGCAGGUGAAGAAAAUAGGAAUUCCACCCUGCCUAAAAAUGUUCCCCAAAUUGUGAAUGAAUUUUUUGCAGAAACUUUACAGGGCCAUGUAAUUUGGGAGCUAAAAUACAUUUAGUUUGUUUUAAAUCCAGAUUUCCAAGAUCUGAAUGUGUGUAUUGACCAUCGGUGCAUUUCAAUACAAGACUCGUCGGUUUAUCCAUGCAGAAGGUAGCUCAAAACAUCCUGGGUUUCAGUUCGGAAGCCUCACAGCAAAGACACUUGUUCAAUUUAUCCUUAGCUGGUAUGCUGUUAUAAAACGUCUCUUACAUUCCUGGUUAUUUAAUCUUCAAAACUGAAGGCUACCUUUACUUAAGGAAAAUGCUGUAGAAGGGAAAUAAUUAGAGCAGAAGCAGCUCUAAAUGCUGUUCUUGCUUUUAUCUAUUUUUAAAUGAUUGCUAGAUGUCUGUAACUGACACCCAUAAUCAGUGGUUUGAAGUUUGGAUGUGUUCACCAAAACGUAACGUGACAGUGGUGCCAUUUGAUCGAUGGAUUUUGGGGGUUGACUUUUUGCCUUAAAUUUUUAAAAAAUCUAUUUAACAACUCAAGUACAACGUCAUGCCUACAGUUAAUAAUACUCUAUUGCACACUUACAAAUUUAUUAAAAGGGUAGAUCUCAUGUUAAGUGUUCUUACCACACUAAAAAAAAGGAAAAGGAAAGAAAAUCUAUUUUAACGACCCAACAAAUGCUUGCAUCAGCCAUUUGCAAAUGCCCGAUAGCUUUUCAGCAACUUGCAUUCCUCUUGUCAGACAAGAUACUGCUGUGUCCAUUCAGAAAGCGGGGGUUUUCAAUCAUCCAGAUAAUCCAAGUAAAAGGAAUAACUUUUGAUUAAAAUACUCAAAUAUUUCAGGCAAAAGUGUCCAGUGCCUGAAUUCUCUGGACAGGUAACUCAGUUUUUCAUGUUACUUUGCAAAGUCUUUACAAAUUACUCCUUUGAAUCAUCCUACAUAUUUUUAUUUCCUAAUUGUUGAAAUAGCCAUGAUGUGGAAGAAAUCUUUUUAAAUUAUUGUCAAGCCAAAAUAAACAGACAUUAAAAAAAAAAUUUCCAAAAAGGGUCAGAGUGGACCUAAAUUAAACAUGAGAAUUUGGCCACUUUAAAACCCUACAUACCCAAAUAUGCUGUAUAGCCCCUCCUUGUUUUACCUUGUUCUAUUUCAUAAGGAAAGAAUCUGCUUUGUUCCCUACCAUAGAAAAUGUAAACAACUACAUAUUUAAAGCACAGCCAUUCCUUAUAUAAAAACCAAAGUCUAGAUACUUACU
This is a non-coding RNA of Equus caballus (horse), 3841 nucleotides long. The record is from RefSeq and is a predicted model, not a curated record. NCBI's taxonomy places the organism in Eukaryota, Metazoa, Chordata, Mammalia, Perissodactyla, Equidae.